UUUAAUUUCGAAUACCUCAAAUCUUCCCACAUAGUCUCUUUCCAUAACCCUCCAACCAACCUUCAUGCUAACUUGUGAGUGGUGUGAUGUGGGAGUGUGUUUAGUAGUGAAUGCUGAUAUCAGCAUGGUCGGAAGAGAGCAGAGAGAUGUCAUCGAUUCUUGUUCAUCCCUUCUUUCUGCAACUCUUUUCAUGAGCCAAUGUGAGCGAGUGUAUGUUUAUCACAGUCCCUGUGUCAGGGGUGCAAACUCGUCACUUUUGACGAUAUUUGCCGUUUUGAGCUCAAAAUAGGUAAUCCACGUGAAUCGUGUAGAUCCAUAAAAAUAACUUUUGUGGUGGCUGAACUACAAAAGAGAGGCACGAACUGAUCUUCUCCCUGUGUGAUCACCACCAGAGAUACUGGAUAUAGUGAUGGGAUGCUUGUGUCUCCGCCCUUAAAAAUGGGAUUCGUUGUCCACAGAGCGGAACGGCGGGCUGUCAAGCUCCCGCCUGUUCCGCUCUUUUUAGGGAGGGAUAAUUCACGGGCUGCUGCGUUGUCACAAUGGGAACUCUUUCUAGAGCACCUGGUUAAAUUGUGCAUAACAGUAGGGUGUUAGGUGACGCGACAAACAAUGAACGCUAUACGAUAAUAAAAUAAAAAACACAGGCUAAUCAAAUCCAUUUAAACUAAAUGUCAAUAAUGUGAUCAUCAAAAUACAUAGUAAAUCAUUUCAAAACACAAACAUGUUUUCAGUCUAAAUGGUUCAUGUAGUGAGAUAUAUGUGAUUAUUGUAAAAGUUUGCCAGUGCAUAAUUUACGAUCAUCCUGAAUUAAAAUAUGGAAUCAUUUUUGCCAUAUUAAAUUAUUUUAUAUAUGCUAUUUUCCUUGAUGUGUGUUACUACAUUACACAAGCUCAUGUUCUGAACACAUCAAAUUGGGGGAAUUACUAAUCCCUUUUACAUCAGACUGGUGGUGAUUAAAACAACUCAAUCUAUUUGUGGUGGUUAAUUAAAACAACUCAAUCUAUUUGUGGGCAGCAGGGUAGCCUAGUGGUUAGAGCGUUGGACUAGUAACCGAAAGGCUGCAAGUUCAAAUCCCCGAGCUGACAAGGUACAAAUCUGUCAUUCUGCCCCUGAACAUCCACUGGAAAAUAGCAUAUAUAAAAUAAUUUAAUAUGUCAAAAAUUAUUCCAGCCAGGCCGUCAUUGAAAAUAAGAAUUUGUUCUUAACUGACUUGCCUAGUUAAAUAAAGGUUUAUACAUUUAAAAAAAUGUUGUGUGCGCAAGUAUGAUUGUGUGUGGGAGGGGGUACACUGUAUGCUACUGACCUUAAUCAGUGUGUGUUUGAAGAGGGUGGUGGGGUGUCUGUGUUUACUUUUGUCACUGUAUUUUAUUUUGUGGUGCGCAAUGUGCCCCACUAAACUAAUGCACUGCCAGGGAUAGGUGUCACUUUGGUGUGUGGGAAGAAGGAGAUGACACACUGCAGCAGUGCUAGUAUGGAGGUAGUGUGUGUGUUUGGAUAUAUCUAUUGAAAGGCCAUGUAAGGUUAGUGUUGACUAAUGGCAUAAUGCUGGUGAGCCGGGCACAAUCAGGUGAUUGUCCCAUGGUCCUGAGUUUACAUAUCAGCAAAGGUACCAUAUCAUGUUGUUUUUGAGAAACUUGGUGGAUCACAGGUUGACAGGCUACCAGGUCCAACGCUCUGUAAGUGGGCUUACGUGGUUUUGUAGGCACAUGUUUCAUUGCAACGUGGUGAAGAUCUGGUUGGAGAGCUGCACUGCUCUCUGCUUCCCAUGUUGAAGGAGUACGUUAUGGUUUCCCAGGGCAGCCAAACCAUUGUCCACAAGCAGCUUAUAGUGAUCACCACUUUCAUGGCAUGCUUUCUCAAGGCUGAGCAUCACCACACCCAAGAAGCUCAUGGAGAUGAACUUCAUUGACAAGAUGCUGCCUUCCAGAGAAUUGUAUGAUGGAUCAGUGUCUGAGAAACCUAAGGCAGAACAUCCAGGACACCCUAUUGUGUAAAAGUUUCUUAACGUGGUGAAGACUGCAUACAUGACAACUGCAGCCUACAUGCAGAAGAAAAUGCCCCUGGACAGCAUGACCCUGCAAUUGCUCUCUGCACACGACCCAGUGGUGAGAGGCCAUUCACAGACUGGCAUCCUGUUGAAGCGGCUUGCUAGGAUGAUGGACCACCCAGUUCCACCCGAAUUUCAGCUUCCACUGGAAGUCGUGAAGUUUAAUGUGGAUUCUACCCUUCCCCCUUACAAGGAUGGUGAGGACAACAUGGUCAAGUGGUGGGGCCUGAACCAGAUUUUACUAGUGUCUCCCUCAAUCUUCCAUGGUCCUAUUGUGGAGUCUUCGUUUAAUGUGAUGGGAGACAUCACAGCUCAAAAGAGCAUGAACAUGGCUACCUUCAAUGCAAUUCAGACCACCAAAUAUAUCCACAGGUCCAGGAGUCUGACUGCCUUACAGAUGUUCCAGAGACAUGAUGUCAAGUUGAGCAAGGGACUCUAAGUACAUCCGCACUGCAGGAAGGAAGGAUAAAGCUCAGAGACAGGAGAACCUGAUGAAGAGGGAGGGAUAUGGUUGCCAGCCAACAUCCAGUGCCCAGCAGACCAGGAAGACUGCAGUGGAGGAGAAGCAGGCCAGACUGAGGACACAGCUAAACAAAGAAAAAUAGCAAAAUCAUUUUUAUUCGAAGCUAAAAGGAAGGAAGCUAAAAUGUGGACUGUAGGUGGGUGUGGGCUAGAUGUGAGUGAUAACCUGUUACUGUUUAUUUUGAGCUUCAAAAUAAAAUAAUUUUCUUAAAAAUGAGUUGUGUGUGUGAGUUAUACUGACAGGUCAAAUUCUACUAAGAGGAGACUGAGUUGUGCUUAAUGUUGGCUAAGAAUUAAUUUAGCAGAUGGGUCUAGUCCUUGACCUUCACCUUGCAGUGCUUCAUUAAACCCACUGGAAAAUGUAUGUCCCCAAGAAAAUAAUCCUGUCUGGGGAGACUGAGAUUUAUCAUGACAUGAUAACCCAUAAACCAAGACCAAAGAACCCAACCCCCUUUUAUACCCCAGGACACUGUUUUCUCUGUCUAUUGUGGUUUGAAAGGUUAGGAGUAUUGACAGUAUUCCACUAUGUAUUAUGCACUUGAUACUCUCUGAGAAUAUGCAAAUUGUAUGCAAAAAAAAUAGCCUUUUUGGACCGUCACCAGUUUGCACCUCUGCUCCAUGCUUGUGUGUCGUAUACGCCAGUGUGUGUGCAUUCUGCUGGUGGUACGUGAACUGCAUGCCCAGACAGGGAGGCAGCCUGCUGCUGAUUCACAGGUGGGGUCAGUCCUCUCCUGCCUGCCUGGCUCUAUACAGAGAGGUUGAGACUAGAGUGACGGACGGAAUGCAGCCUGACAGGAACCAGAGCCUCAGCCAGGGUGUGUCCCUCCCUCCUGGAGGUCUGUCUGCCACGCCAGUGACCUAUUGGGCGUGGGUGGCAUCACUUCACUGUCCUCUUUCUUCUCCACUCAGGGCCACUCUUUAGUUUGUUUGCCUGGCCGUGAGUGAGUCACACUUUCACCAUUACCAGCCAGUGCCGCAGCAGAGCUCUGGGCGAGUAGGGUGCAGUAGUUGCUCUGCUUUCAGGCCCAUGUGAGGAUGAUGUGGUCGGGCAGCACUACUGUGCACUGUAUACCAUCCGUGUUCUUAUAUAAACACCUGCAUAAUAAAAGGUGCAAAUUUGAUCUGACAUACUAUGAUUUUCUCAUCAUAUUAGACACC
Oncorhynchus kisutch (coho salmon) is the source of this 3727-nucleotide long non-coding RNA. RefSeq lists it as uncharacterized. NCBI's taxonomy places the organism in Eukaryota, Metazoa, Chordata, Actinopteri, Salmoniformes, Salmonidae. The record is from RefSeq and is a predicted model, not a curated record. The transcript is spliced from 3 exons.